CAUGGAGCCGACCUUGAAAUACCACCCUUUAAUGUUUGAUGUUCUAACGUGGAUCCGUGAUCCGGGUUGCGGACAGUGUCUGGUGGGUAGUUUGACUGGGGCGGUCUCCUCCUAAAGAGUAACGGAGGAGCACGAAGGUUGGCUAAUCCUGGUCGGACAUCAGGAGGUUAGUGCAAUGGCAUAAGCCAGCUUGACUGCGAGCGUGACGGCGCGAGCAGGUGCGAAAGCAGGUCAUAGUGAUCCGGUGGUUCUGAAUGGAAGGGCCAUCGCUCAACGGAUAAAAGGUACUCCGGGGAUAACAGGCUGAUACCGCCCAAGAGUUCAUAUCGACGGCGGUGUUUGGCACCUCGAUGUCGGCUCAUCACAUCCUGGGGCUGAAGUAGGUCCCAAGGGUAUGGCUGUUCGCCAUUUAAAGUGGUACGCGAGCUGGGUUUAGAACGUCGUGAGACAGUUCGGUCCCUAUCUGCCGUGGGCGCUGGAGAACUGAGGGGGGCUGCUCCUAGUACGAGAGGACCGGAGUGGACGCAUCACUGGUGUUCGGGUUGUCAUGCCAAUGGCACUGCCCGGUAGCUAAAUGCGGAAGAGAUAAGUGCUGAAAGCAUCUAAGCACGAAACUUGCCCCGA
This 624-nucleotide ribosomal RNA is filed under the name Salmonella enterica. RNAcentral describes it as "partial 23S ribosomal RNA". It matches the Rfam family "Bacterial large subunit ribosomal RNA", at positions 2179 to 2802 of the family's 2925-position model. The record is from RNAcentral. Lineage: Bacteria; Pseudomonadati; Pseudomonadota; Gammaproteobacteria; Enterobacterales; Enterobacteriaceae.